RNAcentral lists this small RNA (725 nucleotides) under Histoplasma capsulatum var. duboisii H88. Its description in RNAcentral is "Histoplasma capsulatum H88 hypothetical RNA". The record is from RNAcentral. Lineage: Eukaryota; Fungi; Ascomycota; Eurotiomycetes; Onygenales; Ajellomycetaceae.
CAACCGUAAUAUUUUUGAAUACCCCAAACUUCAAUAUAUCAUCAAUAUUCAACACCAUGUUUAUCUAUAAUAUAAAGAUCAUCUAUAUACUCUGUAGAUACAAUAGAAUCUGCCACAGGUUGAGAUUCAUUAGAAUUAUUGUGUUGUGGUUGAUUUUUUGUGAUCCUAGGGGGUUUGAUUCCAACUGCUUGAAGAGCCCUAUUAUGCUCUCUUUUUGAUUUCUCUGCUUUUUCCGCCUGCACCAUACUACCCUUGAAGAUCUUGUUCAAACACUUGGUUAACCCAGGUGUAAGAGAGUUCUUCACAUUCUGUAUAGCCUUCUCUGCAGCAUCAAUUUGAUGAUGUAAUUUUGCAACUGUGUCAGAGGAUGUCAACUGAGAAGAAGCAGUUGAUGGUCAAUUCAUGGAUGGUGGGGUAAAUUGACUGCAGAUAUCACCAUCUCCAUUAUAUACCUGCAAAUCUGAACCAUCUUGUAGAGUGUGUGAUUUCAAAUGAUUGAGUAUUACAUUGUGAUUAAUAGAGUAGAUUCCACAGUCUGCAAAGCCAGCUUUAAUAGUUGAGGAUUUGAAAGUCUGCUGAUGAAUGCUGUGUAGAUUAGCAAGGAAUUGUCUUUCAUCAUAUUGUUCAUAUCCAUAGCAGGUGGCCUCAUUAAUUGCUUUUGUAUGAUAGUGUUUAUAUUGUUGAAAAGGCACGCUGUCAAGAGGUUGCAAUAUAUGACUUGUAUG